CAGCAGCCACGGUAAUACGUAGGUGGCAAGCGUUGUCCGGAAUUAUUGGGCGUAAAGGGCUCGCAGGCGGUUACUUAAGUCUGAUGUGAAAGCCCCCGGCUCAACCGGGGAGGGUCAUUGGAAACUGGGAAACUUGAGUGCAGAAGAGGAGAGUGGAACUCCACGUGUAGCGGUGAAAUGCGUAGAGAUGUGGAGGAACACCAGUGGCGAAGGCGACUCUCUGGUCUGUAACUGACACUGAGAGACGAAAGUUAGGGGAGAAAAUGGGAUUAGAUACCCGCGUAGUCCCUGUCUCUUAUAC
RNAcentral lists this ribosomal RNA (301 nucleotides) under uncultured bacterium. RNAcentral describes it as "partial 16S ribosomal RNA". It matches the Rfam family "Bacterial small subunit ribosomal RNA", at positions 509 to 808 of the family's 1533-position model. The record is from RNAcentral.